GUGCCAGCCGCCGCGGUAAGACGUAGGAGGCGAGCGUUGUCCGGAUUCAUUGGGCGUAAAGAGCACGCAGGCGGUUUGGCAAGUCGGACGUGAAAAUCCGGGGCUCAACCCCGGACCUGCAUCCGAAACUGCCCGACUAGAGGUAGGUAGGGGAGAUCGGAAUUCCUGGUGUAGCGGUGAAAUGCGCAGAUAUCAGGAGGAACACCGGUGGCGAAGGCGGAUCUCUGGGCCUUACCUGACGCUCAGGUGCGAAAGCUAGGGGAGCGAACAGGAUUAGAAACCCCCGUAGUCC
Molecule: ribosomal RNA, 292 nt
Filed under: uncultured bacterium
Lineage: Bacteria
Description: partial 16S ribosomal RNA
Rfam family: Bacterial small subunit ribosomal RNA
Source: RNAcentral